RNAcentral lists this ribosomal RNA (253 nucleotides) under uncultured bacterium. Its description in RNAcentral is "partial 16S ribosomal RNA". It matches the Rfam family "Bacterial small subunit ribosomal RNA", at positions 524 to 776 of the family's 1533-position model. The record is from RNAcentral.
UACGUAGGGUGCGAGCGUUAAUCGGAAUUACUGGGCGUAAAGCGUGCGCAGGCGGCGUUGUAAGUCGAGUGUGAAAUCCCCGAGCUUAACUUGGGAAUUGCGCUCGAAACUACGAUGCUCGAGUGUGGCAGAGGAAGGUGGAAUUCCACGUGUAGCGGUGAAAUGCGUAGAGAUGUGGAGGAACACCGAUGGCGAAGGCAGCCUUCUGGGCCAACACUGACGCUCAUGCACGAAAGCGUGGGGAGCAAACAGG